This is a microRNA precursor of Nicotiana attenuata, 97 nucleotides long. It matches the Rfam family "MIR6152 microRNA precursor family". NCBI's taxonomy places the organism in Eukaryota, Viridiplantae, Streptophyta, Magnoliopsida, Solanales, Solanaceae. The record is from Rfam.
UGGACAGAUUAUUGUAUUCGACUGUAUUCACGGCGUGAAACAGGGGAAUAUACUGUUUCUAAAACGGAAAGUGAAUCAAUUAACAUAAUAGACUCCU